This 73-nucleotide microRNA precursor is filed under the name Mus musculus (house mouse). Its description in RNAcentral is "microRNA mmu-mir-467a precursor (mmu-mir-467a-1)". Its record names the gene mmu-mir-467a-1. The record is from miRBase by way of RNAcentral. Lineage: Eukaryota; Metazoa; Chordata; Mammalia; Rodentia; Muridae. RNAcentral also lists the same sequence under 1 other name.
CUGUGUGCGUAAGUGCCUGCAUGUAUAUGCGUGUAUAUUUUAUGCAUAUACAUACACACACCUACACACACAU